RNAcentral lists this long non-coding RNA (2339 nucleotides) under Homo sapiens (human). Its description in RNAcentral is "MAD2L1 divergent transcript (MAD2L1-DT)". The record is from RNAcentral. Lineage: Eukaryota; Metazoa; Chordata; Mammalia; Primates; Hominidae.
GCAGUUGGUGGACCUGGUCGCGCUGUGCCGGGUGUGACACUACGGAGAGCAGAUUACAUUAUCAAAAGCACCAAGUUGAAACAUUUGCAAGGUAGGUGAGAAAAAAAGCAUUCGUCAGCAUAUUUUGGAUUUUAUCAUUUUGACUUUAUUGCCUAUGGUCAGUUCUGCCAGUUUUUGUCUCCUUCUAAAAAUUGUUUCAAUCUGCUGAAUCUAUGGAAAUUUAAUAUUUUCCAUAGUGAAGGCUGAUAAGACAUCUGAGGAAGAAUUAAAAACAGAUGAUCUCUAAUUUAAGAAACAUUUGAUGCUAAUUACUUCUUACCUUUUCACACAACUUAAAUAUUGGUUAAUAUAUAGGAUUACAUUACUUUUUAAGUGAGAUUUUAAAGCUAAAUUGAUAAAGUAGAGAUCUAGUGAGAUAAUUAGAUGUUCAUACAAGAUUUGAAAAAUACAGACAUUCUUAGUCACACAAAAAUACCAAAAAGCAUUGUGAUAAUUCACUUUUUCUUAUUCUAAUUUGUAACAGCAUUUUAAUAUGGUCAGUAGAAUGGCUUCAGCAUAUUUACAAUCUUAAAGUUUUUAACUAGAAAACAGUUUGAUGUAUAGAUCUGUUACUCAGCAACAUUUUAGAUUUAAAACUUAAUUUAAUUUUAUAGCUAAUUUAAUUUUAUAGCAAAUUUAAUUGUAUAGCAUGUAAGGCAGUUUACAUUUGAUUUAAUAAAAUUAACACUUAGGCUUUUAUGAUAGCUUUCUAACUCAGGUAUCAGUGAUUUUCAGAAUGCAGAGAUUUUCAAACUGAAAUUUUUUUUGUCAUGAUGCUCUUGUGGCUAAGUUUAUACUUGGGUUAUUUCUUCUUUACACACACACACACACACACACACACACACACACACACACACACCCCAUAAUAUGAAAAAAUAAAGUCUGAAAGAAAAUAUACAAAUACAUUACUAUUUUUUGGACAGUGUAUAGAUUUGAGUGAUCUGUAGAACCUUCUUUAUUGUAUUAUACAGGCUUAAAUUUUUAAUGAUUACUUUAUAAUUCGGUAGAGUAUAGCUAUUUUCAUUUUCAAAAACAUAUAUAUGACAAUCCCAGUAUAGGUGAUACAUUGUUUUCACAAAAAUUUUAUAAUAAAUAUUGACAAUAAUUUUUUCCUAUCCUCUUGAAUCUGUAAAAACCUGCCAGAGCAAAUAUCCUGUUCUUUCCUUGGCAUUACUAAUUUGUUCAUGGUAUUGAUAUAAACCACUCAGUGGAAGUUACAGUGUAAUAACUGUAAACUGCAAGGGGUAUGUUAUGCUUAAAGGAUCCCAGGAAUGAUCCAAGACAAACCACAGACAUGGUAAACAGAAAUUAUACCUCUGCAGGAUCUUAGGACUCCUCUACACUGUUAACAAUUAUUGAAGACCCUUGCAAAGAACUUUGUUUAUGCAGGUUAUGUUGGUAUUUAUCAUAUUAGAAAUUGAAACAGAAAAAUUUAAAAAAUAUUUACUAAAUCAUUUAAAAACAAUGAAAACAUAUUACAUGUUAACAUAUGUAAUAUAGUUUUUCUGAAACAAAAUAAACAAAUAUGUAUGUAUACAUAUAUAGCGAGAAGAGUGGCACUGUUUUACAUUUUUGUAAAUGUCUUUAAUAUAAGGCUUAAUAGAAGACAGCUGAAUUCUCUUACCUGCUUCUGCAUUCAAUUGGAUGCAAUAUGGUAUUUUGUUUAAAGUAAAAUCUGUCUUUACACAAAUAUGUAAUUAUAGAAGGAAGGAGUAUUUUAAUAACUUUUUCAGUUGAUUGUGGAUAUUCUUUAAUAUUACAGUGAAUCUCAACAAAUGAUAGUCUGUUACAGAUUAGUUGCAUUGUGAAAUCUGAAACCAUAUAAAUCAACUUUUCAGACUUUUGAACCUAGCCUGUUUCUUAAGGAAGAUUUCUGAAAGGUGUCUAACUUUUGCUUUAAAAAAAUAAAUUGUAAAAUUUAAAUCAUAGUAAGACAAUCUCAAGCACAUUCUGAAGGAUAUUUUAAGUUUACUUUUCAUCAAAGUUACUUUAUAAAAUAUUCAAGCACUGCUUAAGUCUCUGAUCCUGAUUUCUUAAUGUUUAGAUUAAUUGAAUUUAAAGUUUAUUAUUUAUUAGAUGUUCUAGCUCUUAAAGUCUUUGCUUUGUGACUUUCUGGAGGUAAGUUUUUGUAUAUUAAUUAAGCAGAUGUAAACAGCAUAGGAAAAAAUAAAGGUUUGAUUAGUGAUUUUUUGGCAUGGUGCUCCACUAUUCUAGAUUUCUGUUAAGUACUAAAGAAAGUAAUUUCCAAACAAAACCUUUGCUUGAGCUUGAGAACCGAAAUACUGAUUUCAAAAAAAAAA